CUAAUAAUGAUCGUCUAUUUUUUAAAAAGAAAUAAAAAUUCAAGGCGAUGGAUUUGGUCGACAUUCCACGCCCAUGGUCAGAACUCACCACUGCCUCCCUUGAAUUCGCGCGCAUUUUCACCGUUCUCAUUGGCCUGAUAAUGGAAGUUCCAGACGGCAGAAUUGUCUAUUAAGGUGUAGUCGAGAUCGUCAAAUCGUCAUAACAUGGUGCAUUUUAGUAGCAUCAAUAGAUUUAUCAUCAAAUCUAUCUACAGUGAGUUGCCUUUAAAUUACUUCAGCAGUUUCACGAAAUGUAUUCAUUCCCUUCCCCAAUCCAAACCCAGAAAACCCUUAAAGCAAUUCACCGAAAAUUCAAGAAAAGCAUCCAAAUCAAUGUGCAAAAAUGGGGUAGAGGACCCAAAAGUUUACAUGAGAAACACCAUUUCAAACAUAUAUAGAAUACUGAAGUAUUCAACUUGGGAAACUGCAAAAGAACACAUUUCAAAACUGGGUAUCAAAUGGGACUCUUACACUGUCAAUCAAGUGCUAAAAACUCAUCCACCAAUGGAGAAAGCUUGGCUUUUUUUCAACUGGGCUUCGGGGCUAAAAGGGUUUAAGCACGACCAAUUUACCUACACAACAAUGCUGGACAUAUUUGGAGAAGCUGGCAGGAUUUCAUCUAUGAAUUACGUGUUUAAACAAAUGCAAGAGAAAGGGAUAAUGAUCGAUGCUGUUACCUAUACUUCGCUUAUGCACUGGGUUUCGAGAUCGGGGGAUGUUGAUGGAGCUGUAAAAAUUUGGAAUGAAAUGAAGGAGAAUGGUUGUUAUCCUACUGUUGUUUCGUAUACAGCUUAUAUGAAGGUUUUGUUUGAUAAUAAGAGAGUUAAGGAGGCAACUGAUGUUUAUAGGGAGAUGCUUGAAUCUGGGAUUCCUCCAAAUUGCCACACGUAUACUGUCCUAAUGGAGUACCUUGUUCUUGCUGGCAAAUACCAAGAAGCCCUUGAGAUUUUCAGCAAAAUGCAAGAAGCAGGGGUACAACCUGAUAAAGCUUUAUGCAAUGUUUUGGUUGAGAGAUGUUGCAAAGCUGGUGAAACAAACGUGAUGACCCAAAUUCUUCAAUAUAUGAAAAACAAUCAUCUUUCUCUCCGUUACCCUAUCUUUAUGGAAGCUCUCAGAACUCUAAGAAUUGCUGGUGAGAGUGAUACCCUCCUCAGGCUAGUUAAUCCCCAUUGUGCUCCAGAAUCUAUCAAUAAUGAUGACUCACCUGCAAUCAUUGCAAAUGCUGAUGAUGAUUCUUUGGAGGGAGGACUUCUACUGAUUCUUUUGAAAAAGCAAAAUCUUGUGGCAAUUGACCAUUUACUUGCUGGGAUAAUAGAUAAGAGUAUCCUUUUGGAUUCUUGGAUUGUCGCAACUAUUAUUGAGGUAAACGGCAGGCAAUGCAGACCUGAUAGUGCUUUAUUGGCAUUUGAAUACAGUAUGAGAAUGGGCAUAGACCUUGAGAGAACAGCAUAUCUUGCCUUGAUAGGCAUGUUGAUAAGAUCAAAUACGUUUGUAAGGAUUGUGGAUAUUAUCAAGGGAAUGACUAGAGCUGGGCACUCUCUUGGACUUUAUCUAGGUUCUCUAUUAAUUUAUAGGCUUGGAUCUGCUAGAAGGCCUACUUGUGCUGCAAAGAUUUUUAAUUUAUUGCCCGAUGAACAGAAGUGCACUGCUACUUAUACUGCUAUGAUUGGUGUAUACUUCUCUGCUGGUAGUAUAGAUAAAGCACUUAAAACCUAUCAAACCAUGAAAAAGAAAGGGAUCAAGUCUUCUUUAGGUACGUAUAAUGUUCUAUUAGCUGGUCUAGAAGGAAGUGAUAGAAUAUGUGAAACAGAUACUUAUAGAAAGGAAAAGAAGAGUCUGAUGGCUGAUGGUUAUUGUUCAAACAGUGUUCCUAUGGAAGAAAAGAUAUGUGACCUCCUCUUUGCUGGGGGUUUGGCAUAUUGACUAUCUACUUUGGGUCACAGCAUCCCCUGCUGAGUGUAAUUUCUGGUUGAUCAGGGUGCUUGGAAGCCAAUGCUCCUCUCGUAAGUUUAGAGCAUACGAACAUGCAUGGGGAAAUGGUAGGGGUCAAUAGCUACUGAUUUUUAUCUGGAUUGCAAUUUCAGCAACCCAUUAUGAAACGUGUCUUUAUCGACCAUCAGAAACUCAGGCAUGACUGUAUUGUGUUUCUGGGUUUUCUCCAAGUUUCUCAUUGAUACAAUGAGGUGUACAUGAUUUCACCCCUUCCAAGUUCCAACUACUCCACCAAUGUCAUGCAAAUGAAAACACGCUGAUGAGAUCUCUUGCUGCUUCAGCACUUUAUGCCAACUUCAUUUGGGGUUCAGAUCCAAAGUACUUCCUCUUGGAAUCAUCAUCUACUAUAGUGAUAUGCUCAGAAUCAGUUUUCAUGACUAGGAUUUAAGAAUCAACGUCUUUGUCCUCGUAGGUCAUGGAGUCCUUUCUUAGAGUAAUUAACAGUGACAAAGGCCUGAACCAGGUACUCAUCCAGAUUUAACAGUUCCGUAAAAGAACAAUUACAGUGGAGUAUAUGAGAAAUUUCAAUAUCAUAUGCAUUAUAACUUUACUAGCAAAUAUGCCCUUAUCUCUGCCUAUCAAGGAUAGCCUGGUUGGUCUUCCUUCUCCGGAGCGGGUGAGAUCUUGAGUUCGAGUGUCCACAUCUAUCUAUUAUUGAGAUAUUUAGAGCUACCUCCCAUUGUAUAGCUUAGUUGAAUUCGGCCUUUUUCCCUCAUCCGUAUGAUUAAAAAAAACAGAUCUUAUCUCUCAUUGUUUUCAGAUGUAUACCGACUGUAUGGAUACUUUGAAUGUAGAUCCAAUGGAUAGACAAGUGAAGGAGCUUUAUGUUAUUUGUUUAAUGGAAUUUAUUGAUUGGCAAAGCAAAUUACUCUAGGAAAGUGCAUUCAUGUCUCUUCUUUGUGGGUACAUUAAGCAUCUCUGCAGGCAGAGUUCUGUCUUACGAUACAAUAUUAUGGAUUAUUUUAUCUGUA
RNA transcript from Manihot esculenta (cassava), 3002 nucleotides. It is a transcript of the gene named pentatricopeptide repeat-containing protein At2g01390, with no coding region annotated. NCBI's taxonomy places the organism in Eukaryota, Viridiplantae, Streptophyta, Magnoliopsida, Malpighiales, Euphorbiaceae. The record is from RefSeq and is a predicted model, not a curated record. The transcript has 3 exons.